UUAUUUGACACAAUAUAAUUAGUUGGGAAUUGUAUUAUGUUAAAAUCGGAACGGCGAAAAAUAGAUCUAUAAAAUAAUUUAAUGCUGGAAAAGAAAAGAAAAGAGAAAAGAUCGUACCGAUAUUUUACGUGGUUCGGCCAACGGCUUACGUCCGCGGAUGAAGACGGAGUAAAUACUUUAUUAAUAUCGAAAAUGCGGAGUACAAAAAUAAUCUCUCGAAGAAACUGAAAACCAAAGUAAAUAUAUAUUCGACGCGCGUUAUCGCAUACGGUACCUUCUUAGCACGCAUCCCGACAAUAUAUCUCGACUCGGCUCACCAAAACAAGAAUGUACGGCACCUCCGCAUAAGCAAGCAAACGCGCCUUUGGCUCCUUGACCGUACAAAACCGAGAACUCUCUAAUAUACUAGGCUUAAUGCGAGUUGCUGCCUUUCAUUAAUUUGGCCGUAGCGUGUGUAUAUAACACAUGUCUUUUAACUAGAAUAUAAUUUUAAUUCAAUUAGAAUUACACUCUUAUUUAUAAUCCAUAUAUAUACCAAAUUAAAUUUAAAUUAUAUAUAAUUCUAAUUAAAUUAUAAUUUAAUUUUAAGUUAAGUAACUACAAAUCUAAACCAAAUAUAACAUAUUCGAUGUGUUUUGUAUGCUCGGCACAAAUCUAAACCUAAUAUAACAUAUUCGAUGUGUUUUAUAUACUCGGCACAAAUAAUUCGGUUAAUUUCUCUCUAGCUCUCUCCUGCUCUUUCUAGAAGAGCCUAUUGAAUGUGACCCACGUGAUUUAUUUAAGGUGAUUUAUAAAAAUACAGUCGGUCUAUUCAAAUCGAUCUAUAAAGAUACGAUAAAUUUAGCAGGAUAUAUCCGGAUAUGUUCUUAAUGGACAGACGUGAUUUAAUAUUUGUAUAUCUAAGUUAUACAUAAAUAUAUUAUAUACGGAAUUCUCGGCUUGACCCUAAUUCUAAUUCCUG
Molecule: long non-coding RNA, 961 nt
Filed under: Ananas comosus (pineapple)
Lineage: Eukaryota; Viridiplantae; Streptophyta; Magnoliopsida; Poales; Bromeliaceae
Description: long non-coding RNA (ACOM_LNC028735)
Source: RNAcentral